GGCUGUAGCUCAGGGGUAAAGUGCUUGCCUCGCAUGCGUGAGGCACUGGGUUCUAUUCUCAGCACCA
This 67-nucleotide transfer RNA is filed under the name Marmota monax (woodchuck). RNAcentral describes it as "tRNA.Ala". The record is from RNAcentral. Lineage: Eukaryota; Metazoa; Chordata; Mammalia; Rodentia; Sciuridae.